RNAcentral lists this long non-coding RNA (1352 nucleotides) under Falco tinnunculus (common kestrel). Its description in RNAcentral is "lncRNA (ENSFTIG00000003244.1)". Lineage: Eukaryota; Metazoa; Chordata; Aves; Falconiformes; Falconidae. The record is from RNAcentral.
GCCAGAGGAGUGCUUGAUCCCAAGUCCUAGAGCGCCACCUGCCGUUCGCCGCUGUGGUUUGCCUCCAUUUGUAAAUACAUCUGUACAGGAACUAGUUAAAAAUAUGUAAAUCAAAUAAAUUCUGUUUAGGUAGGGGAGGAAAAUAUCCAUACCCAUGAUCAGUAUGAACAGGAGCCUGCAUUAUAUUGAGAGGCUGGAGUGCAGAAAUAAACUUGUGAUAACCCAGAGUUUUGUUCCCUUGGCCAGCCUUCCAGCCAUGGCUUUGAGAAGGAUAAAGCACUGAUGAACAGAAAUUCUUCUCCCUCAAGCUGAGCCAGUGCUACAGUUCCUUCAUCUCUCUGCUCACUCCAUUGUGCUAUUGCAUGACUCCUGCGUAAGAUUCAAGACAUGCCACACGCAAUGGUUCGUCUUGUAUAAAUGUCAGAUUCCGAGUUCUGUUAUCUGCAUGGCACUUGCAGUUGCUGUUUGAAGACAGCAUCUUCCACUGACACCAACAAUUGUGAAAGACGAGCAUAUCUGUACUUGCAGGUCUGAACGAGGAACCCAGGAAAGUGGUAAGGUCACAAUGAAGGGAAGGCAGGAGAAUAAAACCCUAAGCAUUAGCUGCAUGCCAUCGCCUCCAGGUGGCUGAGCACAACUCUGAGCCAGAGCCGAAAGCAAAGUGGUACUUGCUAUUCCAGCGUUGGUUAAGAGGGUAGGACUGAAAAUGGAAGAAAUAGGAGCUAGCAAGGAAAGUCACUGCCCAACUCCCUGCCGGGGCAGUGCAGUAACACCCAACAUCCCACCUCGUUGCAGCAGCAGUCAUAAGGUGCCAAAGAAAUCAGUGCACUCUACAAGUUUUAUGCCUUCUAGCAGUUCUAUUCGCUUCAGACAAUUGGAUCAGCAUUGUACAGCUGCUAUUCCUGCAGUUUUUCAUCAUUUGUCUGAGUUUCUACCAGGGAUAAAACAAGAGAGGGCAAUUCAUCUCUUAGCCAAAGGAAAAGAGCUGGCAUUUCUCUCCCGAUGAAGCAACACAAGGUGUGAUAAAAAGUCUGUGUGAUUUGAAUAGAGGUGUAAUUCACUGGGGAAAUUCAUAAGUAGCAUACAGCAUCUCCCUUGGACCAAUCACAUUUACAGUAAUCAUUUGCAUAUUAUGAUCAAUCAUUACACAAAAAAGGCAGCUCUGCAUCAAAAACAAUGUAACCCAUAAGGCAGAAAAAUCUUAUUGAAGGAUAUCUGAGUCACAGAGCUACAGCAUCCUGAUGUAUUGAUGAUACAAAACCAGUCAAGACUCAUCACUGAUACUACAAUUUCAGUAGACACAUGAUUCAGCUACACAACUAAAAUGUAGAACUUAUUACAUUUUCUUGCCC